Cricetulus griseus (Chinese hamster) is the source of this 551-nucleotide non-coding RNA. The record is from RefSeq and is a predicted model, not a curated record. Lineage: Eukaryota; Metazoa; Chordata; Mammalia; Rodentia; Cricetidae.
CCAUAAUUCUCCUCAUCUGGUAGCCCUGCCUGUACUUCCUGCCUGGCUACAUCCUGCCUAUCCAUUGUCUGAAACAGCUUUAUUCAUCAUCCAAUAAGAGAAACAUAUAUUCACACUGUACAGAAGGACCUUUCCCAUCUGGAGGAAGUUUCUCUGGGCCUCCAUACUCUGAUGAGAAGUGUCUGUCUGUUCCUUCCAGAAGACUUGAUACAGAGAAGCCUCCAGCCACAGUUACCCAUAAUGGUAGAGUCACUGCAGCAUGCAGGCCAGGCCAAGGAGGCCCAGAACUAGAAGAGAUCUUGGAGCCUUUGUCUCACUUACCUUCACACUGUGGAAGGGCCACCAGGCCAGUCAGGCAGCCCCAUGUUCCUGUUACAGCUGUUGCCACACAAAAGAAGAAAGAAAACCUGGAAUUUCUGGGGUGCCCUUCAUGCUUCCUGGACCCAAUUUUCCCUUUCAAAACUUGAGAUCCUUUAUCAACACCCCAAGUCUUUGCUCUCUAGUAAAUCCCCUGGCCUCUACCAAACGUUGGGUAUAAAAGUGUUUCCCAA